CUAAGUACUACACUCUCUACCCUUUAUAAACUAUUAUACCUGUUGCUUCGGCGGCGCCCGCAAGGGUGCCCGCCGGUCUCAUCAGAAUCUCUAUUUUCGAACCCGACGAUACUUCUGAGUGUUCUUAGCGAACUAUCA
This 138-nucleotide unclassified non-coding RNA is filed under the name uncultured Plectosphaerella. RNAcentral's name for it is "sequence contains ITS1". Lineage: Eukaryota; Fungi; Ascomycota; Sordariomycetes; Glomerellales; Plectosphaerellaceae. The record is from RNAcentral.